AACGAACGCUGGCGGCAUGCCUAACACAUGCAAGUCGAACGAGACCUUCGGGUCUAGUGGCGCACGGGUGCGUAACGCGUGGGAACCUGCCCUUAGGUUCGGAAUAACUCCCCGAAAGGGGUGCUAAUACCGGAUAAUGUCUUCGAACCAAAGAUUUAUCGCCUUUGGAUGGGCCCGCGUUGGAUUAGCUAGUUGGUAGGGUAAAAGCCUACCAAGGCGACGAUCCAUAGCUGGUCUGAGAGGAUGAUCAGCCACACUGGGACUGAGACACGGCCCAGACUCCUACGGGAGGCCGCAGUGGGGAAUAUUGGACAAUGGGCGAAAGCCUGAUCCAGCAAUGCCGCGUGAGUGAUGAAGGCCUUAGGGUUGUAAAGCUCUUUUACCCGGGAUGAUAAUGACAGUACCGGGAGAAUCAGCUCCGGCUAACUCCGUG
This 433-nucleotide ribosomal RNA is filed under the name uncultured bacterium. Its description in RNAcentral is "partial 16S ribosomal RNA". It matches the Rfam family "Bacterial small subunit ribosomal RNA", at positions 29 to 507 of the family's 1533-position model. The record is from RNAcentral.